AGCAUCAGAGCAAAGCCAAGAGGUGGAAAAAAGGUGGUAGACGGAAAGGUUGGAAAACUUACCGGAGCGAAGUGGAGGAGGCAAGGAAGGUGCUUUCUCUUCUGCAAAGGUUUGUCACAGUCAACGAAUCCCACUGAUUCAUCUGCUUGUCAACACAUCCAACCAGUGCUGUCUACUUCACAACUACCAGACUGCCCUUCCACUGUGAUUCAAUCAAAAUCAAUUUUCC
Myotis daubentonii (Daubenton's bat) is the source of this 229-nucleotide long non-coding RNA. RefSeq lists it as uncharacterized. The record is from RefSeq and is a predicted model, not a curated record. Lineage: Eukaryota; Metazoa; Chordata; Mammalia; Chiroptera; Vespertilionidae.